GGGUUGUGAGGUUAAGCGACUAAGCGUACACGGUGGAUGCCCUGGCAGUCAGAGGCGAUGAAGGACGUGCUAAUCUGCGAUAAGCGUCGGUAAGGUGAUAUGAACCGUUAUAACCGGCGAUUUCCGAAUGGGGAAACCCAGUGUGUUUCGACACACUAUCAUUAACUGAAUCCAUAGGUUAAUGAGGCGAACCGGGGGAACUGAAACAUCUAAGUACCCCGAGGAAAAGAAAUCAACCGAGAUUCCCCCAGUAGCGGCGAGCGAACGGGGAGCAGCCCAGAGCCUGAAUCAGUGUGUGUGUUAGUGGAAGCGUCUGGAAAGGCGCGCGAUACAGGGUGACAGCCCCGUACACAAAAAUGCACAUACUGUGAGCUCGAUGAGUAGGGCGGGACACGUGGUAUCCUGUCUGAAUAUGGGGGGACCAUCCUCCAAGGCUAAAUACUCCUGACUGACCGAUAGUGAACCAGUACCGUGAGGGAAAGGCGAAAAGAACCCCGGCGAGGGAGUGAAAAGAACCUGAAACCGUGUACGUACAAGCAGUGGGAGCCUCUUAAUGGGGUGACUGCGUACCUUUGUAUAAUGGGUCAGCGACUUAUAUUCUGUAGCAAGGUUAACCGAAUAGGGGAGCCGAAGGAAACCGAGUCUUAACUGGGCGUUAAGUUGCAGGGUAUAGACCCGAAACCCGGUGAUCUAGCCAUGGGCAGGUUGAAGGUUGGGUAACACUAACUGGAGGACCGAACCGACUAAUGUUGAAAAAUUAGCGGAUGACUUGUGGCUGGGGUGAAAGGCCAAUCAAACCGGGAGAUAGCUGGUUCUCCCGAAAGCUAUUUAGGUAGCGCCUCGUGAAUUCAUCUCCGGGGUAGAGCACUGUUUCGGCAAGGGGGUCAUCCCGACUUACCAACCCGAUGCAAACUGCGAAUACCGGAGAAUGUUAUCACGGGAGACACACGGCGGGUGCUAACGUCCGUCGUGAAGAGGGAAACAACCCAGACCGCCAGCUAAGGUCCCAAAGUCAUGGUUAAGUGGGAAACGAUGUGGGAAGGCCCAGACAGCCAGGAUGUUGGCUUAGAAGCAGCCAUCAUUUAAAGAAAGCGUAAUAGCUCACUGGUCGAGUCGGCCUGCGCGGAAGAUGUAACGGGGCUAAACCAUGCACCGAAGCUGCGGCAGCGACACUAUGUGUUGUUGGGUAGGGGAGCGUUCUGUAAGCCUGUGAAGGUGUACUGUGAGGUAUGCUGGAGGUAUCAGAAGUGCGAAUGCUGACAUAAGUAACGAUAAAGCGGGUGAAAAGCCCGCUCGCCGGAAGACCAAGGGUUCCUGUCCAACGUUAAUCGGGGCAGGGUGAGUCGACCCCUAAGGCGAGGCCGAAAGGCGUAGUCGAUGGGAAACAGGUUAAUAUUCCUGUACUUGGUGUUACUGCGAAGGGGGGACGGAGAAGGCUAUGUUGGCCGGGCGACGGUUGUCCCGGUUUAAGCGUGUAGGCUGGUUUUCCAGGCAAAUCCGGAAAAUCAAGGCUGAGGCGUGAUGACGAGGCACUACGGUGCUGAAGCAACAAAUGCCCUGCUUCCAGGAAAAGCCUCUAAGCAUCAGGUAACAUCAAAUCGUACCCCAAACCGACACAGGUGGUCAGGUAGAGAAUACCAAGGCGCUUGAGAGAACUCGGGUGAAGGAACUAGGCAAAAUGGUGCCGUAACUUCGGGAGAAGGCACACUGAUAUGUAGGUGAAGUCCCUUGCGGAUGGAGCUGAAAUCAGUCGAAGAUACCAGCUGGCUGCAACUGUUUAUUAAAAACACAGCACUGUGCAAACACGAAAGUGGACGUAUACGGUGUGACGCCUGCCCGGUGCCGGAAGGUUAAUUGAUGGGGUUAGCGGUAACGCGAAGCUCUUGAUCGAAGCCCCGGUAAACGGCGGCCGUAACUAUAACGGUCCUAAGGUAGCGAAAUUCCUUGUCGGGUAAGUUCCGACCUGCACGAAUGGCGUAAUGAUGGCGAGGCUGUCUCCACCCGAGACUCAGUGAAAUUGAACUCGCUGUGAAGAUGCAGUGUACCCGCGGCAAGACGGAAAGACCCCGUGAACCUUUACUAUAGCUUGACACUGAACAUUGAGCCUUGAUGUGUAGGAUAGGUGGGAGGCUUUGAAGUGUGGACGCCAGUCUGCAUGGAGCCGGCCUUGAAAUACCACCCUUUAAUGUUUGAUGUUCUAACGUUGGCCCCUGAUCGGGGUUGCGGACAGUGUCUGGUGGGUAGUUUGACUGGGGCGGUCUCCUCCUAAAGAGUAACGGAGGAGCACGAAGGUUGGCUAAUCCUGGUCGGACAUCAGGAGGUUAGUGCAAUGGCAUAAGCCAGCUUGACUGCGAGCGUGACGGCGCGAGCAGGUGCGAAAGCAGGUCAUAGUGAUCCGGUGGUUCUGAAUGGAAGGGCCAUCGCUCAACGGAUAAAAGGUACUCCGGGGAUAACAGGCUGAUACCGCCCAAGAGUUCAUAUCGACGGCGGUGUUUGGCACCUCGAUGUCGGCUCAUCACAUCACGGGCUGAAGUAGGUCCCAAGGGUAUGGCUGUUCGCCAUUUAAAGUGGUACGCGAGCUGGGUUUAGAACGUCGUGAGACAGUUCGGUCCCUAUCUGCCGUGGGCGCUGGAGAACUGAGGGGGGCUGCUCCUAGUACGAGAGGACCGGAGUGGACGCAUCACUGGUGUUCGGGUUGUCAUGCCAAUGGCACUGCCCGGUAGCUAAAUGCGGAAGAGAUAAGUGCUGAAAGCAUCUAAGCACGAAACUUGCCCCGAGAUGAGUUCUCCCUGACUCCUUGAGAGUCCUGAAGGAACGUUGAAGACGACGACGUUGAUAGGCCGGGUGUGUAAGCGCAGCGAUGCGUUGAGCUAACCGGUACUAAUGAACCGUGAGGCUUAACCUUACAACGCCGAAGGUGUUU
This 2923-nucleotide ribosomal RNA is filed under the name Escherichia coli. RNAcentral's name for it is "23S ribosomal RNA". It matches the Rfam family "Bacterial large subunit ribosomal RNA". Lineage: Bacteria; Pseudomonadati; Pseudomonadota; Gammaproteobacteria; Enterobacterales; Enterobacteriaceae. The record is from RNAcentral.